Molecule: long non-coding RNA, 1028 nt
Filed under: Apteryx owenii (little spotted kiwi)
Lineage: Eukaryota; Metazoa; Chordata; Aves; Apterygiformes; Apterygidae
Description: lncRNA (ENSAOWG00000002978.1)
Source: RNAcentral
CUGGGGAUUUGUAAUUCACUCCUUUUGUGUACGCAUACUUUUUAAAUCAGUUUCAUCUACUGCUCCUUACUUUUCUUUUUUUCUUUUUUUUAAGUUUGAAUUUAGGCUAGUAAUUGCAUAUAAAGAUAUGACUUGCUACAUUGCGGGGUAGAUGUCUGCUGGAGUAAAGCCAGCGGUGCAGAUUGCAGGCUUGAACUUUUAUAAUAAUUCAUAAUUUAGGCAUAUUUAACAAAGGGAAGCUUAAGAACUGUUCAGAAUUAGAUUCAAUUAUUUUAUCUUUUUUGUGUGGCUUGCUUUCUAUUGAGGUUUUCAAACUUUUAAUGAUCCUGUUUUCUCCCUUCUUCCCACAUUCACAGAGCCAUUUGGGAGACACUAUUGCUAAGGAGCUUUUAUGAGUGCAAAAGGGGAUACGUUUGUGAGCAGAGCUGAGGUCUGGGAAAACCGUUAGGCAAAUGCAGGACAUCAGGAGCUGUGCUGCCCCACCUCAGCUGCCCCGUUUGGGGAUUACGUCCUGUCCUGCCACGCGACAGUGCUCUCCACUCUCCGCACGGCUCUGCUGUGGUCUGCGCCUCCUCAGCCCAUCCAGCUUUAUGUUUCUGUGUAGCUUCUCAGGAAGUAGCAGUUUUGAAGGUCUGGGUCAUUUUGCCCGUGGUUCUAGACAUUUGAAAGUGGUCACUUUUCUGAUCUAUGCUCAUUUAUUAGGCAAUCCAAUGAUGUCCCUGUGACUGCAGGAUUUUCUGGGAUACAAUGUGUGCUUCCACCUCUUUCAAUUCAUGUGACAGGCAAGAUGAAAGAUAACGGAGAAUGAUUUGAGGAAGAAUUGCUAGGAAUAAGGAACAACAGAGAUCAUGAAGGAAAAAGGUGCCUUUACUCCCAAGGAUGAUGCCAAGUGUCUUAAAACUAGACAACUUUUUCGUAUGUCAAAGUCAAAACUGGAGUUUUUGUUUGUCCUCUAACUUGACCAGGUUAAAAAGUAUAUUUGAAUCCAACCUAAUAAAAUGCUACGUUGUGAAUUUUGGAGACCCUGU